RNAcentral lists this transfer RNA (77 nucleotides) under Cognatundibacterium jejuense. RNAcentral's name for it is "tRNA-Pro". It matches the Rfam family "tRNA". From Rfam's summary of the family: Transfer RNA (tRNA) molecules are approximately 80 nucleotides in length. Their secondary structure includes four short double-helical elements and three loops (D, anti-codon, and T loops). Lineage: Bacteria; Pseudomonadati; Pseudomonadota; Betaproteobacteria; Burkholderiales; Oxalobacteraceae. The record is from RNAcentral. RNAcentral also lists the same sequence under 17 other names.
CGGGGCGUAGCGCAGCCUGGUAGCGUACGUGCAUGGGGUGCACGGGGUCGCAAGUUCGAAUCUUGCCGUCCCGACCA